UACGAGAGGCGCAAACGUUAUUCGGAAUUACUGGGCUUAAAGAGUUCGUAGGCGGCGCAGAAAGUAGGGUGUGAAAGCCCUCGGCUUAACCGAGGAAUUGCGCUCUAAACUACUGUGCUCGAGGGACCUAGAGGUGAGCGGAACUGAUGGUGGAGCGGUGAAAUGCGUUGAUAUCAUCAGGAACACCGGAGGCGAAGGCGGAUCUCUGGGCCUUACCUGACGCUCAGGUGCGAAAGCUAGGGGAGCGAACAGG
RNAcentral lists this ribosomal RNA (253 nucleotides) under uncultured bacterium. RNAcentral's name for it is "partial 16S ribosomal RNA". It matches the Rfam family "Bacterial small subunit ribosomal RNA", at positions 524 to 776 of the family's 1533-position model. The record is from RNAcentral.